CCUCCCAAAUCAGUUUCAAUCUCACUGCCGUUAUAUCUCCCAAAUCACAAAUUUCCGUUAUUCUUUCCCAGUCCAAAUUAUACUCCCUCACAUUCACCGUUCACUUUCGGAGUUUCAGACUGUUCUCUGCUACGCUCCUUCUCGACAGGGUCUUGCAUCAUCUGAGAACAACUUAUUCUUCUCCAUCGUUCCUUCUCUGCGAUUCAGCAAUAUUUUUAUCUAUUUUAUAGCCAUGUAGAGGCAGAACGGGUUGAAGAUGCAGCACAACAGUCUUUCAGGUGGUGAAAGAUUUGUUUUCCCUUUCUCUGGCGGGAAAAUUGUUGGGUGGUGUAGGUGUAGAACAAACUCUUCCAUGUUGCUGCUGGGGAGGAGCCAGAGUGGUUUCAUGUUGCUUUUAUUCUCUGUAGGUAGUUACAAUUAACUAUUUUUUAAUUUUGCUUUUAUUUCUGUAUGCAGUUGGUGAUUCAUCGUGUAAGCAGUUGAGACUUCACUAUGCAUGCUUUGUUUUCUUGAGAUAUAUGAGGGACUUCUCUUAUGCUCAUGGAAAACAGUCCAUACACGGGCAGUGUGAACACCACUACUACAGACAAGCAGUGUCUAGCAAAAUUUUCCAUUUCUUUCAAUUUUAAGAAGUUAAUGGGGAACCAUAAGAAGAAAGAAUGGAAGAGUUACACAUAGUAUAUGAUAAUCACCCUGGCUAUUCUUCUCCAAAACAAGCUUUAUGAUAUAUCCAAAACAGGCUAUUCAUCAAACAAGUGUAACGGCUGAAACAUACGCUACUGAAACUCCUUCUAUAUAAUCAUUUAGUUCCAUCAUUCCAUCUGUCAAACCAUUCAUCUCUAAUAUCUGCGAAAUUAGAGCAAUUGGAUCUGCUUCAGCUACCGUCCCUGUUAUUACUGGGAGAAGACUGAACAUUGCUACUUAAUGGAGUCUGUUGGAGAUCCAUUAUAAUUGAAAAUGAGUAUUUAAAGAUUGGAGUGGAUACAUUACAAGACUUCCUUAAAUAGUUCCUUACCAUAUAUUGAACAGGUGUUGGACUAUCUUUUUUACCCAGAGAUACAUUUCAGUGGACAUUUGAUCAUGAGAUUGCAAAUCAAACACUUCAACUUUAUAGGGUAGACACAUUUACUACAGAGGAAGAGGUCUGCUAAGGUUGGACUAUUAAUAGAAUGAAUUAGAGGACCAAUUGUGAAGAGAAUCACAGCCGAUAGGGAAUUGGUGAUUGCCGUUUUACCUGUCUGCUAACAAGCUAUGGAAGGUGAAAGAAGAAUCCUUGCUCGAUCAGAGGGAACCUUAAGAAAAUUAGAUCAUUGCAUGGACAGUUCUCUAAUUCCUCUAUCUUUUCUAUUUUUUUUAGCACUUUCAACAUGCAUUUGUUCUAUUGAUCUUAUACAGCUCUCUAGGCUCUAGCAACUUGAUCUAAGACGUAUGGUGAGAUUAAAAUGGAUGCCCCUUAUGUAA
This is a long non-coding RNA of Lotus japonicus, 1461 nucleotides long. RefSeq lists it as uncharacterized. The transcript is spliced from 7 exons. NCBI's taxonomy places the organism in Eukaryota, Viridiplantae, Streptophyta, Magnoliopsida, Fabales, Fabaceae. The record is from RefSeq and is a predicted model, not a curated record.